Erythranthe guttata (spotted monkey flower) is the source of this 409-nucleotide non-coding RNA. The record is from RefSeq and is a predicted model, not a curated record. NCBI's taxonomy places the organism in Eukaryota, Viridiplantae, Streptophyta, Magnoliopsida, Lamiales, Phrymaceae.
GGAUUGAGUGGUGGGUAUUACUUUCUUCUUCCUCCGAACCCUAAUUCCCCUCUUUUUUUCUUCAGGAAUAGCGAGUUUGAUUCCAUUUUCUAAUUUGCAGGUGCCUACACUUACGUUUCUUCUGGUGGAGAAAAAGGUGAGGUACUUACGUACAAGGAUGCGGGUGUUGACAUUGAUGCUGGUUCAGAACUUGUUAGGAGAAUAGCAAAGAUGGCUCCUGGAAUUGGUGGUUUUGGUGAACUUUUCCCUUUGGGGGAUUCGUAUCUGGUGGCUGGUACAGACGGAGUGGGUACCAAACUUAAGCUGGCUUUCGAGACUGGAAUCCAUGAGACCAUUGGCAUUGAUUUGGUUGCAAUGAGUGUUAACGAUAUUAUCACUUCUGGGGCGAAGCCUUUGCUUUUCCUUGAUU